GCCUUCGUGGUGUAAUGGCCAGCACACUGGGCCUGUAUUCCAGAGGUCCGUGGUUCGAUUCCCGGCGAAGGCG
Molecule: transfer RNA, 73 nt
Filed under: Stegodyphus dumicola
Lineage: Eukaryota; Metazoa; Arthropoda; Arachnida; Araneae; Eresidae
Description: tRNA-Thr
Rfam family: tRNA
About the family: Transfer RNA (tRNA) molecules are approximately 80 nucleotides in length.
Source: RNAcentral